Molecule: ribosomal RNA, 246 nt
Filed under: uncultured bacterium
Lineage: Bacteria
Description: partial 16S ribosomal RNA
Rfam family: Bacterial small subunit ribosomal RNA
Source: RNAcentral
AGUAACGCGUGGGUAACCUGCCUCAUACAGGGGAGUAACAGUUAGAAAUGACUGCUAAUACCGCAUAAGCGCACAGUGCUGCAUGGCACAGUGUGAAAAACUCCGGUGGCAUGAGAUGGACCCGCGUCUGAUUAGCUAGUUGGUGGGGUAACGGCCUACCAAGGCGACGAUCAGUAGCCGGCCUGAGAGGGUGAACGGCCACAUUGGGACUGAGACACGGCCCAAACUCCUACGGGAGGCAGCAUG